CAGUAGCCGCGGUAAUACGUAGGGCGCGAGCGUUGUCCGGAAUCAUUGGGCGUAAAGCGCGUGUAGGCGGCUGAGUAAGUCUGCUGUGAAAGUCCAGGGCUCAACCCUGGAAUGUCGGCGGAUACUGCUCAGCUGGAGUACGGGAGGGGCGAGUGGAAUUCCUGGUGUAGCGGUGGAAUGCGCAGAUAUCAGGAGGAACACCUAUGGCGAAGGCAGCUCGCUGGAAUGUUACUGACGCUGAGACGCGAAAGCGUGGGGAGCAAACAGGAUUAGAUACCCCCGUAGUCCCGUCUCUUAUACA
RNAcentral lists this ribosomal RNA (301 nucleotides) under uncultured bacterium. RNAcentral's name for it is "partial 16S ribosomal RNA". It matches the Rfam family "Bacterial small subunit ribosomal RNA", at positions 509 to 808 of the family's 1533-position model. The record is from RNAcentral.